This 477-nucleotide ribosomal RNA is filed under the name Limosilactobacillus fermentum. RNAcentral describes it as "bacterial SSU rRNA". It matches the Rfam family "Bacterial small subunit ribosomal RNA", at positions 848 to 1327 of the family's 1533-position model. Lineage: Bacteria; Bacillati; Bacillota; Bacilli; Lactobacillales; Lactobacillaceae. The record is from RNAcentral.
GAGCUAACGCAUUAAGCACUCCGCCUGGGGAGUACGACCGCAAGGUUGAAACUCAAAGGAAUUGACGGGGGCCCGCACAAGCGGUGGAGCAUGUGGUUUAAUUCGAAGCUACGCGAAGAACCUUACCAGGUCUUGACAUCUUGCGCCAACCCUAGAGAUAGGGCGUUUCCUUCGGGAACGCAAUGACAGGUGGUGCAUGGUCGUCGUCAGCUCGUGUCGUGAGAUGUUGGGUUAAGUCCCGCAACGAGCGCAACCCUUGUUACUAGUUGCCAGCAUUAAGUUGGGCACUCUAGUGAGACUGCCGGUGACAAACCGGAGGAAGGUGGGGACGACGUCAGAUCAUCAUGCCCCUUAUGACCUGGGCUACACACGUGCUACAAUGGACGGUACAACGAGUCGCGAACUCGCGAGGGCAAGCAAAUCUCUUAAAACCGUUCUCAGUUCGGACUGCAGGCUGCAACUCGCCUGCACGAAGUC